RNAcentral lists this small RNA (573 nucleotides) under Arabidopsis thaliana (thale cress). RNAcentral's name for it is "ATSL283190". The record is from RNAcentral. Lineage: Eukaryota; Viridiplantae; Streptophyta; Magnoliopsida; Brassicales; Brassicaceae.
UUAAAAUAAGUAAUUUAACAAAAACAUGUAGAGUAUAUGUAAGAAAUAACCAUUGACUUGAAAAGAAUACACAAAAUAACCUUGGACCAAAUAGUAUUUGUCGGCUACAGAAAUUUUGGUAAUAUUUAGUCUAUUUUAGCCUUUCUCUUUCUUAUUCCUUCUUUUGUUUUUUUUCCAUGUUCUUUACGAGACUUUAGUCAUAGAGUUCUCUUUCUCUCUUCAUUUUUAACACAAUUCAUCUUCUUCAGAUUCACCAUGUCAUUUUCUUUUUCUAUUUCUCUCUUCCUCUCCUAAAAUAAUCUUCACCACCUUUCAUAAAAUAUAUCAUCAUAUCUUUUUAUUUUGUUCACCCACAUGUUCUCUCUUUCUUUUUCCAUAGAAAUCUCUCUAUCUCUCAUUCUUUAUUUUAUUUUUUACCUGAAUUCUCCGUCAAUGUCGUUGUGAUAUAAGAGAUUAGAUUUGAUUUUAAAACAAAUGUCUGAUUUUAAAAUGCAUGUAUUUUAAGAACAAAACAUGUUAUUAACACUGAUAUAUUAAUAUUUGUCAUGCUAUCCCACAAAAACUCAUGAAAUA